GUCGUUAGAGCACUGGGAAAGGGGGCGGGCUGCUGGCUGGGAGGGGUCGGCGCGGUUUCUGGCGCGCCACCGGAAGGGCGUUAUCCUGGGGGAACUGAGAGUGGAAACUUUCCUCCCGGGAAAGGAAGAAACCCGACUGGAGAAAGAUGGGGUCUCGCCAUGUCACCCACGCUGGUCUUGAACUCCUGGGCUCAAGCGAUCCUCCUGCCCCAGCCUUCCAAAGUACUGGGAUUACAGGUAUGGAACAGGCUGACAGAGCUGGAUCCAAAGGGCUCAGAAUGGAGCAACCAAGGUGUAUUCACCUGAUGCUUUGGUCUCCCUAAGCUCUUCCAUAGAAACGAUCAUAUAUCACCUCGGCAAUUGUUUUACGAUUUCUCACUGUGUUUCUCAGAAUGGUCUCAGACUCCUGGCCUCAAGCGAUCCUUCUGCCUGAGCCUCCCAAAGUGCCGGGAUUACAGGCAUGAACCACUGCACUCAGCCUGUUUUCAACCUUAUAUAAAUGGAAUCCUACUGUAUGUGCUUUUUGAUAUCUGGGCUCCUUUGCUCUAUAUUAUGUCUGUGAGAUUAAUAAACUUGUUUGUUCAGUUACGUUACUGCUGUGUAGCAUUCUAUUGUAUAAUGUACCACAAUUUAUUCAUCUGGUCAUCCAACAAUUUGGGUGGUUAUGUUUGGGGGUACUGUGAACUAUGCUGCUGUGAAUAUGUACCCAAGUUGUGGACCAUCUAUGUAUGUGUUUCUGUUCAGUAUAUACCUUGAAGUGUAAUUGCUGG
Molecule: long non-coding RNA, 770 nt
Filed under: Homo sapiens (human)
Lineage: Eukaryota; Metazoa; Chordata; Mammalia; Primates; Hominidae
Description: HSALNT0302558
Source: RNAcentral